RNAcentral lists this ribosomal RNA (394 nucleotides) under uncultured bacterium. Its description in RNAcentral is "partial 16S ribosomal RNA". It matches the Rfam family "Bacterial small subunit ribosomal RNA", at positions 523 to 918 of the family's 1533-position model. The record is from RNAcentral.
AUACGUAGGGGGCGAGCGUUAUCCGGAAUUAUUGGGCGUAAAGAGUACGUAGGUGGUCUGUUAAGCGUGAGGUGAAAGCCCGUGGCUCAACUACGGCGAGCCUUUCGAACUGGCAGACUUGAGUGCAGGAGGGGAAAGUGGAAUUCCUGGUGUAGCGGUGGAAUGCGUAGAUAUCAGGAGGAACACCGGUGGCGAAGGCGACUUUCUGGACUGUAACUGACACUGAGGUACGAAAGCGUGGGGAGCAAACAGGAUUAGAUACCCUGGUAGUCCACGCUGUAAACGAUGAGCACUAGAUGUCUGGGCAGAAAUGUUCAGGUGUCGAAGUUAACGCAUUAAGUGCUCCGCCUGGGGAGUACGCACGCAAGUGUGAAACUCAAAGGAAUUGACGGGG